GGACGAACGCUGGCGGCGUGCCUAAUACAUGCAAGUCGAACGAACUCUGGUAUUGAUUGGUGCUUGCAUCAUGAUUUACAUUUGAGUGAGUGGCGAACUGGUGAGUAACACGUGGGAAACCUGCCCAGAAGCGGGGGAUAACACCUGGAAACAGAUGCUAAUACCGCAUAACAACUUGGACCGCAUGGUCCGAGCUUGAAAGAUGGCUUCGGCUAUCACUUUUGGAUGGUCCCGCGGCGUAUUAGCUAGAUGGUGGGGUAACGGCUCACCAUGGCAAUGAUACGUAGCCGACCUGAGAGGGUAAUCGGCCACAUUGGGACUGAGACACGGCCCAAACUCCUACGGGAGGCAGCAGUAGGGAAUCUUCCACAAUGGACGAAAGUCUGAUGGAGCAACGCCGCGUGAGUGAAGAAGGGUUUCGGCUCGUAAAACUCUGUUGUUAAAGAAGAACAUAUCUGAGAGUAACUGUUCAGGUAUUGACGGUAUUUAACCAGAAAGCCACGGCUAACUACGUGCCAGCAGCCGCGGUAAUACGUAGGUGGCAAGCGUUGUCCGGAUUUAUUGGGCGUAAAGCGAGCGCAGGCGGUUUUUUAAGUCUGAUGUGAAAGCCUUCGGCUCAACCGAAGAAGUGCAUCGGAAACUGGGRAACUUGAGUGCAGAAGAGGACAGUGGAACUCCAUGUGUAGCGGUGAAAUGCGUAGAUAUAUGGAAGAACACCAGUGGCGAAGGCGGCUGUCUGGUCUGUAACUGACGCUGAGGCUCGAAAGUAUGGGUAGCAAACA
Molecule: ribosomal RNA, 782 nt
Filed under: Lactiplantibacillus plantarum
Lineage: Bacteria; Bacillati; Bacillota; Bacilli; Lactobacillales; Lactobacillaceae
Description: bacterial SSU rRNA
Rfam family: Bacterial small subunit ribosomal RNA
Source: RNAcentral